RNAcentral lists this non-coding RNA (98 nucleotides) under Stenotrophomonas maltophilia. RNAcentral also lists the same sequence under 3 other names. The record is from RNAcentral. Lineage: Bacteria; Pseudomonadati; Pseudomonadota; Gammaproteobacteria; Lysobacterales; Lysobacteraceae.
UUCUGCGGCGGGCGGUGCGUGGGGAUCCCCGGAUCCGCCGGCGUCAUUCCUCGUGAAGAGCUUCACCGGCACGCCAACCCGCACCGCCCGCCACCUUG